RNAcentral lists this ribosomal RNA (1480 nucleotides) under uncultured bacterium. RNAcentral describes it as "16S ribosomal RNA". It matches the Rfam family "Bacterial small subunit ribosomal RNA". The record is from RNAcentral.
GUUUGAUCCUGGCUCAGGAUGAACGCUAGCGGGAGGCUUAACACAUGCAAGUCGAGCGGGAUUAGCAGCAAUGCUAUGAGAGCGGCGCACGGGUGCGUAACGCGUAUGUAUGCAACCUGUCUUAUACAGGGGAAUAGCCCAUGGAAACGUGGAUUAAAAUCCCAUAGAAUCAAGAUAUCGCAUGGUAUUAUGAUUAAAACUGAGGUGGUAUAAGAUGGGCAUGCGUCUGAUUAGGUAGUUGGUGAGGUAACGGCUCACCAAGCCGACGAUCAGUAGGGGUUCUGAGAGGAUUACCCCCCACACUGGUACUGAGACACGGACCAGACUCCUACGGGAGGCAGCAGUGAGGAAUAUUGGUCAAUGGCCGGAAGGCUGAACCAGCCAUCCCGCGUGCAGGAUGACGGCCCUAUGGGUUGUAAACUGCUUUUGUACCUGAAGAAUAGGCCCAACGAGUUGGGAUUUGCCGGUAAGGUAUGAAUAAGCAUCGGCUAACUCCGUGCCAGCAGCCGCGGUAAUACGGAGGAUGCAAGCGUUAUCCGGAUUCAUUGGGUUUAAAGGGUGCGUAGGCGGAUUGAUAAGUCAGUGGUGAAAGCCUGCAGCUUAACUGCAGAACUGCCAUUGAUACUGCCAGUCUGGAGUAUGGUUGAGGUAGCUGGAAUGUGUCAUGUAGCGGUGAAAUGCUUAGAGAUGACACAGAACACCGACGGCGAAGGCAGGUUACCAACCCAUUACUGACGCUGAGGCACGAAAGCGUGGGGAUCAAACAGGAUUAGAUACCCUGGUAGUCCACGCCGUAAACGAUGAUCACUCGCUGUUUGCGAUAUACAGCAAGCGGCUGAGCGAAAGCAUUAAGUGAUCCACCUGGGGAGUACGAUCGCAAGGUUGAAACUCAAAGGAAUUGACGGGGGCCCGCACAAGCGGAGGAACAUGUGGUUUAAUUCGAUGAUACGCGAGGAACCUUACCUGGGCUUAAAUGUAGAGCGACAGAUUGUGAAAGCAGUCCUUCUUCGGACGCUAUUUACCAGGUGCUGCAUGGUUGUCGUCAGCUCGUGCCGUGAGGUGUCGGGUUAAGUCCCAUAACGAGCGCAACCCUUAUCGUUAGUUGCCAGCGGAUCAUGCCGGGGACUCUAGCGAGACUGCCACCGUAAGGUGUGAGGAAGGUGGGGAUGACGUCAAAUCAGCACGGCCCUUAUGUCCAGGGCUACACACGUGUUACAAUGGCCGAUACAAAGGGCAGCUACCAGGUGACUGGAUGCUAAUCUCUAAAGUCGGUCUCAGUUCGGAUCGAAGUCUGCAACCCGACUUCGUGAAGCUGGAUUCGCUAGUAAUCGCAUAUCAGCCAUGAUGCGGUGAAUACGUUCCCGGGCCUUGUACACACCGCCCGUCAAACAAUGGAAGCUGGGGGUACCUGAAGUCUGUAACCGCGAGGAGCGGCCUAGGGUAAAACUAGUAACUGGUGUUAAGUCGUAACAAGGUAACC